RNAcentral lists this transfer RNA (69 nucleotides) under Perkinsus olseni. RNAcentral describes it as "tRNA-Gly". The stretch from base 4 to 62 matches the Rfam family "tRNA", at positions 7 to 64 of the family's 71-position model. Rfam says of the family: Transfer RNA (tRNA) molecules are approximately 80 nucleotides in length. Lineage: Eukaryota; Perkinsozoa; Perkinsida; Perkinsidae. The record is from RNAcentral.
GAAUUGGUCGUAUGGUUAGGAUAUCGGCCUUCCAAGCAGAUGUUCCGGGUUCAAUUCCCGGACGGUGCA